Molecule: ribosomal RNA, 444 nt
Filed under: uncultured bacterium
Lineage: Bacteria
Description: bacterial SSU rRNA
Rfam family: Bacterial small subunit ribosomal RNA
Source: RNAcentral
AACGCGAAGAACCUUACCUGGGCUCGAAAUGUAGUGGAAUCCGGUAGAAAUAUCGGCGCCCAGCAAUGGGCCGCUAUAUAGGUGCUGCAUGGCUGUCGUCAGCUCGUGUCGUGAGAUGUUGGGUUAAGUCCCGCAACGAGCGCAACCCUUGUCCAUAGUUGCUAACGCGUAGUGGCGAGAACUCUAUGGAGACUGCCGGUGAUAAACCGGAGGAAGGUGGGGAUGACGUCAAGUCCUCAUGGCCUUUAUGUCCAGGGCUACACACGUGCUACAAUGGACGGUACAAAGAGUCGCGAUCCCGCGAGGGGGGAGCUAAUCUCAAAAAGCCGUUCUCAGUUCGGAUUGUUCUCUGCAACUCGAGAGCAUGAAGCUGGAAUCGCUAGUAAUCGCGGAUCAGCACGCCGCGGUGAAUACGUUCCCGGGCCUUGUACACACCGACUGUAC